GACGAACGCUGGCGGCGUGCUUAACACAUGCAAGUCGAGCGGUAAGGCCCUUUCAGGGGUACACGAGCGGCGAACGGGUGAGUAAUACGUGAGAAAGCUGCCCGACGCUGGGGGAAAACUGCCGGAAACGGUGGCUAUACCCGGAGAGGCCUUCCUCACACAGGUGGGGUGGGGGAGAGCCCUCGGGUGUGGUGGGGUCGGCUCUGGGUCUAUCAGCUUGUGGGGGGGGUGAUGGCCUACCAAGGCAUCGGCAGGUAGCCGGCCUGGGGGGGUGACCGGCCACACUGGGACUGCGACAGGGCCCAGUGUGCUACGGGAGGCAGCAGUGGGGAAUAUUGGCCAACGGGCGAAAGCCUGAUCCAGCGACGCCGCGUGAGGGAUGCCGGCCUUCGGGUUGUAAACCGCUUUCGCCUGAGACGAAGCGGUAGUGACGGUAGCAGGUAAAGAAGCACCGGCCAACUACGUG
This 466-nucleotide ribosomal RNA is filed under the name uncultured bacterium. RNAcentral describes it as "partial 16S ribosomal RNA". It matches the Rfam family "Bacterial small subunit ribosomal RNA", at positions 28 to 507 of the family's 1533-position model. The record is from RNAcentral.